This 282-nucleotide ribosomal RNA is filed under the name Triticum aestivum (bread wheat). RNAcentral's name for it is "partial small subunit ribosomal RNA". The record is from RNAcentral. Lineage: Eukaryota; Viridiplantae; Streptophyta; Magnoliopsida; Poales; Poaceae.
CUCACAGGUUGGAAGGGCAAACUGAUGAACCUGGCAGGUCGCAGAGUGUUGGUGUGCGCCGUCCUCUCUGCACUGCCAACCUAUGCCCUCACAGUGCUCUGGGUGCCCAAGAAGAUUCUCAAAGAGCUGGACAAGGCAAGGCGCAUGUUCCUUUGGGCUCAAGAUGAACCGCUGGCCGGCGGCAAAUGCAAAGAGGCUUGGGAUACAGUGUGCUCGCCGAUCGACAAGGGAGGGCUGGGCAUCCCAAACCUACAGUGCUUUGGCACUGCCCUGUGCCUCUGA